Non-coding RNA from Oryza meridionalis, 205 nucleotides. The record is from Rfam. NCBI's taxonomy places the organism in Eukaryota, Viridiplantae, Streptophyta, Magnoliopsida, Poales, Poaceae.
AAUAAGUACAACCAUGAGUUUCCGCGUCUAAUUUUGAUCGUCCGUCUUAUUUGAAAUUUUUUUAUAAUUAGCAUUUUUGUUGCUAUGAGAUGAUAAAACAUGAAUAGUACUUUACUCGUGACUUAUGUUUUUAAUUUUUUUUAAAAAAAUUUUAAAUAAGACGAACGGUUAAAAUUAGACGCGGAAAACCAUGGCUACAUUUAUU